AGAACUUCUGAGCAACGUGGCAGCUGCCGGGACCGGGCCUCUGAGUGCAGAGAGCAGGCGUUGCCAGGAGCGGACUCAGACAGUGGAGGCCCCUCGCUGACCCUCUCCGGGGCCACUGCAAAGGAAGAAGAAAAGCACAGGCAUCAGCUUCAACAAUGCAAAACAAAGUAAGCUUGAAUUCAGAUGAGGGGCAGUUAAAAUCGCAGCCUAGAAGUCCAAGUGUGGUUUGUAACACUCCAAACCCCAUGUCAGCCUUCAGUGAUUGUUCUGCUGACCAUGUUGCUACAGAGCGGCUUGGGUUUUUCCUUGUGGCAACUCCCCAGGGUGACAGAUUAUUCGGCAAUGUCACCAUUUUGUAGAUGUAUUCGGGAUUUCCAGCCAUAAGCCAUGGAUGAUAUUGGGGAUCCUUUAUUCCUGGUGGGUGCCCAUAAGAGUUUGCAAACUAUACCCAAAAGGGCACGGGAACCCCUAAACUUUCCAGGCUGUCUUGGCACACGGCUCACUAGAACUGUUAACGCCGUCAAAGUAUCUCUGACACGUCCUUAGCCUGUGUUUGAAAACCUGCAGAGAUGGGAUACGCCCCUUUACCAGAGACAGUGCAUUCCGUCCACUGGGAGUGACACACGGCCAAGCCAGGCUUCAAAGAGAGAGGUUCACCGUAUUCCAGUAGUGACUACUGGGAUUUAGGGUUGGAUCACCUUACCAGAGCUUGGAAGCUGCUAGAAGUUAACAUUAAUUUUAUUGUUCUUUAAAAUGAAAGUCCAGCAGGAGGGCCAGGAUUUGGGCAUCUCGGUCCUUCACGAAAAGAAAGGGUGAUGUUGAUUAGCCAUGUUCCACAUCCCCCGAGUUAAAUAUAGGAAUAGUUCUGACAUCUGACUCAAGAAUGUGUUUUCUUGCAUGAUAUUAAGGCAGAUGCACAGAUCCACGUAGAUUAAUCCCCUUCACUAGUAGCAGGGGCCCGAUGAGGUAGCUGAUGAGGAAGAGCCCCCGAGACCAGGCCCAGCGUGGGGCCACGGCCUUGGGAUCUGGACGACACCCCAGCGGUUCUGUGCCGCCAGCAGGCCCUGCCGCAUCUCUGGGCUGGAGCCCUGACUGUCAGCAGAUGAGGCCAUGGGUUGGGGUGUCUCUCCCACCAGAACGGCUUCGUGGGGUGCUCACUAUCCCCUGGUCAUGCUUCGGCACAGCUGGCACCGGCUCCCUGAGGGCCCACUGAUUGGUUUUACACAAGUCUGUGAAGCUUCCCACAAUGCACGAUGUCCUUAGCAAAUACAACACAGCCCGCUGGUAUCGCCUCUUCCUUCACUACCUCCACAACCACUUGUGGCAGAGGAGGAGCCUCCAGUUGCACUUGGCCAAGGCGGCUUUUGUAAGAACUUGACGGGACCAAGCCACCCCCACGGCAUCAUUUCCACGGGAGAACACAUCCCAGCGAAACUCCAAGGAAAGGGUAGUUUUGUGAAGAAAAUGCUUGUGUUCUAGGACACAGCCCAGCAAGUCCCUGACUUUAAAAAAUGUGUAAGAAACAGGAAUGUAACAUUGACGAAACAUGCCUGCCAAGAUGGACUUUCCUUGUGGCGAGACCCUUCCUUCUCCUCAAUGCCUGGGUGCUAGCAGGGUAGCAUCCCCAGCCUCAGAGCUCAAGCGUCAUGAUUGGGGAAAUGAGACUGGGCAGCCAUUCGGAAGGCCGGGCAAAGAAGAGUGUAAAGAGACAUUGGUCUCGUGCUGCAGAAUGAGUUACAAAUAGUGAAUCCUCAGCAAUACUGUCUCCCCGUGGACUGGAAUUUGGACCCGCUGCUGUGGCGGGCAGCUUUGACCCAAUGAGGACCACGCCUGGAAGGAUGUCAGAGCAGCAGGGACCUGGGUGGAGUGACCUGGUGGAACGGAGACGCCUGCCGGCUCAGCAGCCACAGCAGCAGCUGCCCGUCAUGGGACAGCAACGUGGCAAGAAUUCCCCACGGGUUCCGGGGGAGCCUGUGUUGCUGGACCCUUUGCCACACCACCGAACCUGGCCCAGAGGAGCAGGAAUUGGCCGAGUUCCAGGCCCUGCACCUGACGGGGGCUUCCUCAGCCUCUCAUGUGAUCCUCGCAGCAGGCUAACGUGCAGGCCCUUCUGUUUUCCAGAUUUGACAGUUGAGAGGGGAAAGCCAUGUUUUCAAAUGUUACAGUAGAAGAGGCAGGAUGCAAAUCCAGCCCUGGCUGGUGCUGAAGCUGGGGCAGGUGCAUCUGCAGGGUGCUGCCUUCAAGGCAGAGGGGUGACUGCUGUGUUUCAUGGCAGGGAAGCCCCCCUUGAUGCUCACACCACCCAGGUCGUACGGCUUUGAGGACAUCCCUUUCUUCAAACCCAGGUCAUCUGAACAGUGUGGCCUGAAUCCCAGGUUGGGAGUGAGUAAUUCAUCAUCCAAACUGAUUAGAGAAUCUGAGUGAGGGACCUUCAAGUCAGGGAUAGAGAACGGGCUUCGUCUUCUGGAGCUGCCAUAACAAAAUGCCGAAGACUGGGCGGCUUCAACCACACAAGGGCCUUUCGACACAGCCCUGGCAACUGGAAGCUGGGGGUCGAGGUGUGGGCAGGGCUGGUUCCUGGGGAAGGAUCUCCUCCCGGCUGCAGAUGGCCGCCCCUGGCUGCAUGCCCGCCUGGCUUUCCUCGGUGCUCACUCACCCCGGUGCCUCUUCUGCUUCUUAGAAGGAUCCCCAGCAGAUGAGGGCCCCAGCCUGGUGACCUCACUUACCCUCCAUCAUGUGCUGAAGGCCUGCGACAAGCACUUCUCAUCUUCCCAUCCUCUGACGGAGCCAGUCCCACCCACCACGUGGACGUGGGUGUUGUCUGUGGACCAAGGUCAGUGUUUUGUUGGUUUUUCUUAUUGUUUGGCACCAGCAUUACAUAGACCAAUAGACCUUGUUGUUCUCCGCCCGGAGGGGCUGGUGCUGUGGCUGGGGCACCGCCCUGGGUAGGCCCCGCCCCAGGCCAUGCAGUUCCCAGGCUCCUUUCUGGGAGGGGUUGGUUCUCACAAAGGGGGAAAAUCAUGAAAUGGCAAACCUGAGUCACGGCAGCACAGAGGACAGCCCCUGAAGGCAUAAGCAGGAAGGGCAUAAUGCUUUCCAAAAGAGAAAACUACAUGGACUUUACUGACUCAUCACUGAGUUCUGAGAUCACUGACACUUACACAUGUGUCCACGCUGUUGUGAGUCAUGGGGAAAAAUGGAGGAGCAAAAUGACCAAGUGGCAGGGUCUGUAAGAGUCUCUCACUGUAGGGAUGGGCUGCCCUGAGGAGACACUGCCCAGGCCUGGGUGCCCCGGGCCAAAGUCCUGACCCUUGCAGGGCUGUGUCCUGUGGAUGACAUGUGGCACUGGACUGCUCACUGACAGAAUUAGAAGUACCUUUUCCAAUAUUCAUGCCAUGAAGAGUUUGUUGGUGAGUUCUGAUCCACCCCUCUCAAAUCUGCCUAUAUAUGGGGCCGUCCAUGGUGAUGGGGUGGACAGCUGGGCUCUGCAACCUGCCAGCGUUUUCCUGCUGUGCCCUGAGGCAGUGCUCAGGCUAGCCAAAGAUCUGUGGGUGCUGAAUGCAGCUGUCCUCAUCGUGAGCUCCCUUUUUGUCACCAAAGCUGCUUCUCUUGGUUGAUUCUGUUAGGUGUGGGGUGUAUCCACAAUUUCUUAGGUUAAUACUUAAAAGAUAGAGACGUACUCAAUCCAGGUCCAGUGGAAUGCCUUUGGUAGUGGGAUUGUACCCAAAGUUCACAGAAGAUAAAUUUUAUAUAAAAUGAGCCAGGUUUGCUUUGUACAUUUCCAACUGUAGAAUGAAAUUUAGGGGACUGAAUAGUCAGUGUCUUAUUUCACUUGUGUCUUUGGAUACAAAUGUUUUUCUUUUAAAACUCCUGACUGCAUAUUCCUUGUGUGUGUGUGGCUUUUAGUCCUAGAUUGUAAAGCUUGCCAAGUCUGCCUGCUGGGAACUGACUCCUCUAUGCAGAAGCUCCCCUUCCUCUGACACAGUGCAGAAAGACACACGCCUGGGGCACCAUCAUCACUCGGCAUCCCUUGAUGAUGGAACUGCCCUGAGACAGUUCCAAGGAGUGGCGGCCCAAGGCCUCACACUGGACGGAGGCUGAGCUCCACUGCGGCCCCGGCAGGCGGGCUUCCUAAGAGCAGCGUGGAAUCCCGGGGCUCUGCGCACCGUGCCCGGCCCCGGGCUCCCUGACGCGAGGCAAUGCCUGGGCACAGCGUACGGCCACCGGCACCUUCACUCCUCACCUGUGCACGCGAGUGUGGGGGAUGAAGCGACAUCGGUGUGUGGCGUCUCAGUGCAGCGCCGGCACACACAGCCCUAAGCAGAUGCGGAGCAGAGAUGACGGUGGAGUCACCCCGCGGGUGCAACCCCAUCUUAGCAGGAGGGCCGGGUUUUGGGCAGCUCGGGCCUUCAGAAAAAGGAUCAUGUCAGCGUGCAUGCCACGCUGCACGUCCCGGGAGUUAAAUCUAGGAAUAGUUCUGACACCUGACUUAGGAGUGUGUUUCACUGCAAGUAUUAAGGCAGAUCCGCAGACCCAUGUAGAUGAAUCACCUUCACUUUCAGCUACUAGGAGGGGCCCCAUGAGGUAGCUGAUGAGGAAGAGCCCCCUAGACGAGGCGCAGCGUGGGGCCACGGCCUUGGGAUCCGGGCGCCACCCCAGCGGUUCUGUGCCGCCAGCAGGCCCUGCCGCAUCUCCGGGCUGGAGGCUUGACUGUCAGCAGAUGAGGCCACGGGGUCGGGGUGUCUCUCCCACCAGAACGGCUUCGUGGGGUGCUCACUAUCCCCUGGUCACGCUUCGGCACGGCUGGCACGGGCUCCCUGAGGGGCUGUUGGAGAACCCCCAGGCCCCCUGGGUCUUGCCACGGAGACCACCCAGCCUCAGGCUGGUUCUCAGGUGGCCCCUUCUCUACGCUUAGGACGUGGCUUUUCCCAAGCUCUUUCCCAGCUGCCUGUCACUUUUCUUCCCAGCUUUCCCUUCCGAAGGGAGCUCGGCUUCAUUCCAUGGCUUUCCAGUCACGUCAUAAGCAUUUCCUCGUCUGACCCACGAACUGAUAAAACGCUCUGGACGGGGCGGCCUGCAUGCUCCAGGGACUGCAUCAUCUCCGUGGGCGGCAGGGCGCCUGCAGGCACCCAGCCUUGCGCGGGGCAGGCGGUCUUCUGAGGGUGCAACCCUGUCCCCCCAGGGCCCUAAACACAGCGUCAAAACUGAGCUACCUCCACAAAAAUUUUGAACAAACUAGAAAUCAUAAGGUGGUGAAUAAUGAUAUGUUACCAUACGCAAGUAGAAAAUUGAAAGUUUCAGCAAAAACUAAGUCCAAAGCAACAGCUGCGCCAGGACGGAGAGCCCACAGUGAAAUUGCUGCGUGCGCCCAGGGCGGCGGCGGCGCCAGGCAGGCGCGGAUCCCGCUGCGAGGGACUUGCCUGCUGACCUGGGGCCGCAGGGAGCUCUGCUUUAUCAGGAGAAUAUUUGAAAAGCGAUCUAUUAAAAGGAAUGCUUAAGUGAAUUAUAAAAGUCUGAGAAAGGAAAUGGGAGAACCAAGUUAUCUAAAUUUUCUCAAAACUAAUUAUUAGCUGGGCGAAAAUGUAGAUAUUCGGGGCACUGAGGGUGGUGAGUGCGAUUUUGCUUGCACCAUUGGCAAAGUAUACCUUGAAUUUAUCAAAAUUUUGUCAUCAUCUAGUCUUAAAUAGUUAAACGGUAAGCAAACGACGCUAAACAAAAUAAGGAGACAGAGAAAAGUGCGGACAGUUCUCACAGGAGUUUCCACUGGGGCUGCAUUCCCAGGGCGCUGGCCGGGAAAGCUCAGUCCACUGAGCACAAUAUGCUUUCUCCAUAGCGUGAGGGCUGCCACCAUCUACCGAGUGGAUCAUUAGGCCUGUCUCCCAGAGACAGCAAAAAAUGUGCAGAACUACGUACACAUCCGUGGGCCGGAAAGCACUUUCCCUAUAGAUUCUGGUGCCCUGCGGCUCUCGGAUGGGGAGAUGCGCGCACUCCAGACCCCCACAGGCCCCCAGAGCACGGUGGAGGGUGGGGGCAGAGUCAUAAGAGACGUUUUACCAAACAUCACUGAAUGCAGCUUUUUCUCUCCCUUGAGAAAAAUGAAACACCCAGUAAUUUAAUUUUAAAUUUAAAAGCUGCCUCUUUAAACUUUGUUGAAAAAUACAGAAUAUGCCACCAUUCUGCAGUUUCAUGUCAUGAAUGGAUAAAGUACGAGGAAAGGGAGGGGAGGAAUUUGUAAAAGUUUAAUGGAAAAGGCAAGAAGAAAGCUGGCCAAGAAAGAGAGAGGGAGAACCAAGAGAGACGGGAUGUGGGGAGGAGAGAAAAGCGUGCAGAUGAGGAGAGAGCGGGGGAGGAAGGGGACACAGACAGCCCGGAGCGUCCCUUUCCGAGGAGCGCUGUGGACAGGCCUGAGCAGCCUGGACGGGAGUGACUUGAUGAUGUGAUGGGCGGAUUUCCUGGCAAACUUUCCACCUCUUUCAGGUCACACCCAUCUUCAGUCUCUGCUCACCAUGACAGAGUCACAGCCACACCCGGGACAGAACCUGGGCUCCGGGCAGCAGGUAAUAGGAGGAUAUUCUACCCAGGGCCGGAACAAGCCAGGUCCAGCCUCAACUGCUCUGUGGCUAGUAAGUGCGAGGAUGCUGUGUCACAGGUGUCACACGUCACUAAGAGAACGUCGUGGGCGCACGGGGAAUGUCUUUAUGGCACUGUCUGGAAGCAGGCUGCAUCUCAGCAGCUCCAGAGGUUACAGGGGCUGGUUUUCACCAACACAAGAAGUGUUAGAGACAGGAGACGUGGAGGAACCUGUCGAACCUGGUGGGGAUCGAGUUUAAACACAUCUGCACACACUUGGGUGUGUGUGUCCCAGCGCAUCUCAGCCCUGAGUGCCCACACCUGGCUUCCCUGCCCCCCCACCCCUCCUACCCCACAGUCCACACUGCCCCACACCUACUCGUGUCCAGAAAGCUCUCGCUGAGCCUCCUCCCACAUCAGCCACUCUUGGAGGACUGAGAAAACAGUGGUGGGGGGCCAGUUCCCAAAUCCAGGCGCUCCUGGCACAUCCAAAUCCGGGACGACUGACCAAGGGCUCGCACUCAGCCUGAGGAAGCAAGUGGUCCUUUGACUCGGAGUAAGAACUGCUCAGAGGCCAACGUGCUCUGGCUCGGGUCCCCCUGGCACCUCCAGGCAGGUCUUUCUAAUUUGGUUCCUGAACACGCUCCAGCUCCCAUCCUGAGGCCUGCCCUUGCCCUUCCCUCCCCCAUUGCUCUUCCCACCCUCCUCCCUUGCCAUUCCCUGUCCUCAUUGCUCUUCCCACCUUCCUCCUUCCGCUCCCUCUCAAGGCCCUGCCCUGUCUGGUUCACCAUCCUCCUCUCGUCCUCUCCUGGCUCCUCCCCAGAGCUUGGUGUUCAUUCGGACGCCUUCUCCCUGCAGCCUCCACCAGGGCCCUGGCUGCCCUCGCCCUCCAGCAAGUCACUGUAUUUUACGUUCUUCAUGGAGUUUUUUACUUUUGAGAUUUAUCAACUUUACAUGCAUGUUUGCUGCACCCCCUCACUAGAUUUCAUCUACAUGGGAACAGAGACCCCUCUGCUUUGCUCCCUGCUGUAAACAUCCCGGCUCGGGAAAGUCUCUAUCUACAGACACUGCUGGGUGCUGAGUUUCCAGAGCAGUCAAUGCGAUGUGCGACUCCGUGGUGAGAACUGAAGAUGCAUGAGGAUGAGGGGCGCUCGAUCCCUGUCCUCUGUGAUCUGGUACAACAGAAUCAACCCCUGCAUGGUGGGCCCCAGUGAGCAGCCUGCGGGAUGCACGGAGCCACCCAGAAACACGUGAACUCGGUGGCAGCAGCAGAGACAGAAACAUCUCACAGUACACCAGGAAUGAAAGUGUAAAAUACUUAGCAUUUGACAAGGUUUCCAGUUAUAUGUUCUUCUUUGAGCAUCAAAUGAGGGUCCCAUACCUAUUUCUGUGCUCAUGUUACAGACAGAAUGGAAACACAGAGAGUUACAGAGAUGUGAUCCAGGUGGGGGCUGGGAAGGGGCUUCCUGCAGAGGUUUAUACCCAGGCUCGUGGAGAAAAUGCCCUACGAGGGACCAAGCCAAGGACUCAAGCAAACGCAGGGAAUGAGACAGCGUUUCCAGGCCAGAAUGCGGGAGCCCUUCAGCAGAAUCAGGGGUUAGGAAGCUCGGUGACUUCAGGCAGGAAGGCGAUGGAACGGGAACAGGGUCUUUCUGUUUCACGUAGGCGAUGGAACGGGAAUGGGGGUCUUUACUUUUCACGCAGGUGAUGGAACAGGAACGGGGUCCUUCCAUGUGGGAAAUGCUGAGCCUGCGCUGCCAACCGCCUCCGGGUGAGACAUCUUGUGGACAGCUGGGACAGGCGGCAGAGUAAGAGGCAGUGGUUUAGAAGUCAAAUGCCCUUGGACAAUUGUGGAAGCUUUUGAUUUUAUUAUUUUAUUAUUAACUGAAAAAAAUAGAAAAUAGAAAAUAGAAAAAAAUAGAAUUGGAGAGGAGGAAUAAGUAGAUGUUUAGCAACAGAGCGUGCAAUGCAGCAGCACACUGAGAAAAGUAGCCCAGAAAGGACGGGGAGCUUCAGGAGGCGACAACUCACAAAUAUGACGGCCACUCACAGGCCAGUCCUGCAAACGACAGAUGACUCCAGGAGAGGCCGGGCGUGGUGGCUCACACCUGCAAUCCCAGCACUUUGGGAGGCUGAGGCAGGUGGAUCACCUGAGGUCAGGAGUUCGAGACCAGCCUGGCCAACAUGGCGAAACCCCGUCUCUACUAAAAAUACAAAAAUUAGCCGGGCGUGGUGGCGGGCACCUGUAAUCUCAGCUACUCGGGAGGCAGAGGCAGGAGAAUUGCUUGAACCUGGGAGGCAGAGGUUGCAGUGAGUCGAGAUCAUGCCAUUGCAAUUCAGCCUGGGCAACAGGGCGAGACUCCAUCUCGAAAACAAAACAAAACAAAACAAAUGACUUGAGGAGACGGCUUCAGAAAAUACUGUUGUGUUUGGUGACUGAGUGGUUAUUCAUGUUCUUGGACAAUGCUUUCCAAAUGUUAGUUUGCCUACAGGUCACGCAAACAUCCUGCAUGUGAAGGCAGACUCCGGAGGUCUGGGAAGCACUGGGUUUUGGGUUUUUUUGUAUAAAAGCUUCCAGAUGGCACUGAUGCUGCCUGUCAGGGGACUACACCUUGACAAGCCUGUAGAGACUGUGUUAGAAGGGCAGGGUGAACACCAGAUCCCGUAGCGAGGUAAGGGGUAAGCAGGUGUGAGGAGGCAGGGCAGACACAUGGCCGCCUUCUAGGAGUCUGAGAGUGGAGAUUAGGAUAAUAGAAGCUUAAUGGCAUUUUAAGGUUAAAGAUCUUAUUUUUUGCUUUGUAUUGAUUUUGGACGGAUGAGUCCUGGAAAAAUUAAUUGCCAAGGGUCACUUGGAAGAGAGUGGGUGCCGUGACAUCGGUGGGGUCACCCAAUGUCAGACUGGCGAGCAUUUUGAGUUGCCCGUAACUGUUGUGCCUCAAGCUCCUGGUGUUCCCGGAGGCUGUGCCCUGGAGGCCCGUUGCAGAGAACACGGAGGCACAUUCUCCUGCUGUGAAGUCAGCCCAGGCAAGGCAGGCGUGGCAGCCUGUACCAUUGGUGUGGCCACGGGGCCGAGAGGGCAGGAAACAGAGAGAGGGAGGUUGGUUUCAUGUUGCAAAAUGCCGGAUGAGUGGGCAAACCCCCCGCAAUUCUGUCUGGCCAAAUUAUACUUUUAGGUUCAGGCCUAUACUUUAUAUUUUAAAAGCUCAAAUUAUUUUAUAAUCUCCUGAAAAUACAUCAUCUUGCCAUUUGCUUUCAAUACUGCACUGCGACCUUUUAUAAUCUUUCAAAAACAUGUUCUCCCUUUGGAUAAAUGAGAAAAUAAAUAGUAUUCAGUGAAGACCAACUACUGAAUUAUUUUAAAAUAUCUUGUUUAUAAAAGGUUUUUACCAGUGAGAGGAUUUAAGAGUUGCUUGGCUCUUGAAGCCAGCAGAGACUUCUGUGUGCAUUGCUUCAUUUGUGGGGGAGGACUCUAGCCCCACAUGGCAGAUGAAAAACUGUGCCUCGGAGGAGUUAAGCGAAUUGCUGAGGAUGGUACCACAGAGAGCGACUGAGGCGACAGCCAGCAUCCAGCCUCCAGAGUUCCACUGUGCUUCCCCAAAGACAGGCGGGCUCUCCUCAAGCACAUUUUUACUUUAGGAGCUGCUGAAACUGGGGUGUGGACCACGGGAUCCCCCCUGACCAGCCUCAAGCCCGAGCCUGCGAUUCUCUCAUCCGCACUUCACCAGCUGAGGUGAAGGGUGGGCCUCCAUUUUGGUUGAAUUACAUUCUCUCUCACAGAACCAUCUGGAAACCCCAUCACCUUAAUAAUUCAGUGUUGUUUGAUGCUGUGAAAGGUGAAAAAGACUUCAAUUCUUACUACCAAAUUGUGCUGGGGAGUGACACAGAUAGUCAGUCUCUCAGCAGCACGCACACCCUGUUAGAAGGGGGUAUGGUUUUUACUUUCCGCUUAUUCCCGGCAAAUCCUGUGGCUUCCACUAAGCAAGGAUGUCCUCUGAGCACCCUGACCCUCCCGAUUCCCGUGCACCGCCCCAGCCUCCGCUGUCGCCUGCCCUCCACCUGGCGCCUCCGUUAUUUACUUGUUCCCCAGGUUCAGUCUCGGGCGGCCUCGGCUUUCUCCACGUCUUCUCCCUGCACAGUGGCAACGCUUCCAGAACCCCAGCUGCUCUAACACCAGGCCCAGCUCCUCCAACCCAAGCGUCUCUACCCAACUGUGGGAUCUGUCCGCACCUCCAGAUGGGGAGGCCCACGUCUCCGUGUCACCUGAGGGCGGGUGUGUUUAGAAGCAUGCUUUUGCAUCUCCACCACUGGAGACACAGGGACUUGGGGUGUGUACGUUUUGUGAAAACUCAAACAUGGGCCUCACCUUUUGGUUUUAUGGAUGUGAACCACGUCCCUGCAGUCAUCAGAGUGGAAUGCUGCUAGCGGCUGGCCCUAGGCUGAGUGUUUGACCGGGAAUACCCACACACUUCUCUCAACUAACCCGUGAGGUUGGCAUGUUCAGUACCUGGGGAGAAAGUGGGGUAACAAUGACAGGACUAAAGCCCACAGCCUGGGGCCUGGCACCUGGCAAGUGCCCUCUGGGUGUUGGUGGAGUUCUUACUUGGAUGACUUUAAUCAUUACAGAGGCUCCCUAAGGCCACACAGCUGGUAGGGGCUCUGGCCCCGUCUCAUCUCACUCCAGAGCCCCAGGUGAGUGCAAGGCAGAACCUCUAUGUUUCUGUCUCAGAUUCUUCUCAUUGCUUUGUUUUUCUCAAAACAUUUCAUUUUAUCAAUGAUGAAUACUAAAAUUAGAUUAUUUUCUUUUUGUUGAAACUAUAUGUAUUGAUUUUUUGUCUUUGGAGUUGUCAUAAAACACCUGUGGUCAAAUCCAGGCCCUUCCAGUUACCAGCAAUGUGACCCUCUGCACGCUAAUCACCUCCCUGAUGACUCAGUUUCCCCAUCUGUAAAGGAGAAGCAAUGGAAGUACUGGGCAGUUUAAAUAACAUAAAUGUUGCAGAACACUUGGUACAUGGCCAGACAUGCAGUAGGUAUUCCAUAAAGGAAGCUAUUUGUAUUUUUUGUUUCAAAUUCUAUUCCAUGGUGAACGUUUGUUUACUGUCUCAGAUGUGAUGUGAGAUUCCAUUUUGAAUAGCUUUCAGGAAUGUGACACGAAAUUAUCUUCCUUCUUCCAUCAGCUAAAAACUACUGUAUAAAUGUUUCAAGCUCUGCUCCCCCUACUCUUACCAAUGAUAAACAUGCCCCUAGGUUUCCCCUACAGCCACCCCAGCUCCUCGCUCUACAUCUCCCUCUCCCCACCGCCACCUUCCGCCCCUGCCCUGCGGCUCCCACCGCCCCUGCCCUGCUGCUCCCACCGCCCCUGCUCUGCUCUGCUGCUCCUUCCGCCCCUGCCCUGCGGCUCCUACGGCCCCUGCCCUGCUGCUCCUUCCGCCCCCGCCCCGCUGCUCCUUCCGCCCCCGCCCCGAGGCUCCUUCCGCCCCUAUCGCUCUGCUCCUUCCGCCCCUGCCCGGCGGCUCCUUCCGCCCCUGCCGCUCUGCUCCUUCCACCCCUGCUCUGCUGCUCUGGGCUUUCCCCGAGGCUUUGCUGCCCACACUCUUCUUGCUCGUCAGACCCACCAAGGUUGCAGAGAAAGGCAGACAGCAGCAGAUGGCUAGGAAACGAAUACUCAACAAUAGGGUGAUUUCAGAACUAAAUUCCAAAGAAUUCAGCCUACAGAGCAAAAACUCACUCAAAAAACCAAAAAGAUGGAGAU
Molecule: long non-coding RNA, 12319 nt
Filed under: Homo sapiens (human)
Lineage: Eukaryota; Metazoa; Chordata; Mammalia; Primates; Hominidae
Description: non-protein coding lnc-SMOC2-8:4
Source: RNAcentral